This 253-nucleotide ribosomal RNA is filed under the name uncultured bacterium. RNAcentral's name for it is "partial 16S ribosomal RNA". It matches the Rfam family "Bacterial small subunit ribosomal RNA", at positions 524 to 776 of the family's 1533-position model. The record is from RNAcentral.
UACGAAGGGUGCAAGCGUUACUCGGAAUUACUGGGCGUAAAGCGUGCGUAGGUGGUUCGUUAAGUCUGAUGUGAAAGCCCUGGGCUCAACCUGGGAAUGGCAUUGGAUACUGGCGACCUAGAGUGCGGUAGAGGGGUGUGGAAUUCCCGGUGUAGCAGUGAAAUGCGUAGAUAUCGGGAGGAACAUCUGAGGCGAAGGCGACACCCUGGACCAGCACUGACACUGAGGCACGAAAGCGUGGGGAGCAAACAGG